RNAcentral lists this unclassified non-coding RNA (388 nucleotides) under Hevea brasiliensis (rubber tree). Lineage: Eukaryota; Viridiplantae; Streptophyta; Magnoliopsida; Malpighiales; Euphorbiaceae. The record is from RNAcentral.
AAAUACAAAGGUAAAAUGCUGGGAACACUCCCAUCUAAGUACCUCAAAUGGGUGACAAAGAAUCUCCGAGCUCGAGAUUUUGAAGAAUGGGCUCAGCUAGCAGAUCAAGUCCUCUCUGACCCUAUCUAUAGGGACCGAAUUGAAUGGGAGUUUGCCCAAAAUCUCCUCAACGGCGACGUUUCACCGGCACGGACGCAGAGUUCCGUUUCGGAGUUGCUGGAAAUCAGCACCAGAUUCCGUUGGGACAAUGAGGAUAAGUUGGGUUGGAGCAAAAUUGAUUUUGAGUUACUUGGGACCUCUAAAGGUGGUCGAAUACCAAGGCUUUCUGAUUCCCCCAAUAAUUCAAUUAGGGUUGAAGAUAAAAAAAAGGGUACAGAUGGAGUUGAUA